RNAcentral lists this ribosomal RNA (440 nucleotides) under uncultured bacterium. Its description in RNAcentral is "partial 16S ribosomal RNA". It matches the Rfam family "Bacterial small subunit ribosomal RNA", at positions 338 to 795 of the family's 1533-position model. The record is from RNAcentral.
CCUACGGGUGACAGCAGUAGGGAAUAUUGCUCAAUGGGGGAAACCCUGAAGCAGCAACGCCGCGUGGAGGAUGAAGGUUUUCGGAUUGUAAACUCCUUUUGUUAGAGACGAAAAUGACGGUAUCUAACGAAUAAGCACCGGCUAACGCCGUGCCAGCAGCCGCGGUAAUACGGAGGGUGCAAGCGUUACUCGGAAUCACUGGGCGUAAAGAGCGCGUAGGCGGGAUAGCAAGUCAGAUGUGAAAUCCUAUGGCUUAACCAUAGAACUGCAUUUGAAACUGUUAUUCUAGAGUAUGGGAGAGGUAGGUGGAAUUCUUGGUGUAGGGGUAAAAUGCGUAGAGAUCAAGAGGAAUACUCAUUGCGAAGGCGACCUGCUAGAACAUAACUGACGCUGAUGCGCGAAAGCGUGGGGAGCAAACAGGAUUAGAUACCCCGGUAGUC